This 73-nucleotide transfer RNA is filed under the name Bos taurus (domestic cattle). It matches the Rfam family "tRNA". Rfam says of the family: Transfer RNA (tRNA) molecules are approximately 80 nucleotides in length. Their secondary structure includes four short double-helical elements and three loops (D, anti-codon, and T loops). The record is from Rfam by way of RNAcentral. Lineage: Eukaryota; Metazoa; Chordata; Mammalia; Artiodactyla; Bovidae. RNAcentral also lists the same sequence under 2 other names.
UCCCCAGUGGUCCAGUGGUUAAGACUUUGCACGUCCAAUGCAUGGACUGCAGGUUCAAUCCCUGGUCGGGGAA